RNAcentral lists this transfer RNA (69 nucleotides) under Anisakis simplex (herring worm). It matches the Rfam family "tRNA". From Rfam's summary of the family: Transfer RNA (tRNA) molecules are approximately 80 nucleotides in length. Their secondary structure includes four short double-helical elements and three loops (D, anti-codon, and T loops). The record is from Rfam by way of RNAcentral. Lineage: Eukaryota; Metazoa; Nematoda; Chromadorea; Rhabditida; Anisakidae.
GCCUCAUUGGCUCAGGGGCAGAGCGUCUGUCUCGUAAACAGAAGGUCGCUGGUUCGAUUCCAGCAUGAG